UGUUAGGUGACCGACGACAGGUGAUAGAUUGUAGAUCUUUUUAUGGAAUUAGAUUUCCCCAACAA
This 65-nucleotide transfer RNA is filed under the name Maackia herderiana. RNAcentral describes it as "tRNA-Tyr". The record is from RNAcentral. Lineage: Eukaryota; Metazoa; Mollusca; Gastropoda; Littorinimorpha; Baicaliidae.